UGAGGCAACUAUUAGAAGCAUGGCAUCAUCCAAUGUGUAAAUUUGCUGGCUAUUCAAGCUCGAUUGCAGUGGAUUCCCUCAGCAUUCCCAUUUAAGAAAAAUAUGCGAAAUCCAUUCUUUUGGUUUGUUUAACUUACUUGAUCUUAAAUGAAAGUGUUUGUGCUAAUGAACUGCUCACAGAACCAUACAUUUUGAAAGCAUUAAGCAUUAUGUAUGCCUUUUGCUACGCUGAAAGUAUGCAACCAAGCAUAGAAAGACACAGAAUCAG
RNAcentral lists this unclassified non-coding RNA (268 nucleotides) under Hevea brasiliensis (rubber tree). Lineage: Eukaryota; Viridiplantae; Streptophyta; Magnoliopsida; Malpighiales; Euphorbiaceae. The record is from RNAcentral.